AAUUACGGCCAUACCACACUGACAAUGCCCGAUCUCGUCUGAUCUCGGAAGCUAAGUAUAGUUGGACUGGGUCGGUACUUGGUUGGGUGACCGCCUGGGAAUACCCGGUGCUGUAAGCA
RNAcentral lists this ribosomal RNA (119 nucleotides) under Cottoperca gobio. Lineage: Eukaryota; Metazoa; Chordata; Actinopteri; Perciformes; Bovichtidae. The record is from RNAcentral.